UACGUAGGGGGCAAGCGUUGUCCGGAAUCAUUGGGCGUAAAGCGCGUGUAGGCGGCCCGGUAAGUCCGCUGUGAAAGUCCAGGGCUCAACCCUGGAAUGCCGGUGGAUACUGUCGGGCUCGAGUCCGGAAGAGGCGAGUGGAAUUCCUGGUGUAGCGGCGAAAUGCGCAGAUAUCAGGAGGAACACCGAUGGCGAAGGCAGCUCGCUGGGACGGUACUGACGCUGAGACGCGAAAGCGUGGGGAGCAAACAGG
Molecule: ribosomal RNA, 253 nt
Filed under: uncultured bacterium
Lineage: Bacteria
Description: partial 16S ribosomal RNA
Rfam family: Bacterial small subunit ribosomal RNA
Source: RNAcentral